This 251-nucleotide ribosomal RNA is filed under the name uncultured prokaryote. Its description in RNAcentral is "partial 16S rRNA". It matches the Rfam family "Bacterial small subunit ribosomal RNA", at positions 525 to 775 of the family's 1533-position model. The record is from RNAcentral.
ACGGAGGGUGCAAGCGUUAAUCGGAAUUACUGGGCGUAAAGCGCACGUAGGCGGUUUGAUAAGUCAGAUGUGAAAUCCCCGGGCUCAACCUGGGAACUGCAGCUGAUACCCGCAAGCUUGAGUCUCGUAGAGGGGAAUAGAAUUCCAGGUGUAGCGGUGAAAUGCGUAGAUAUCAGGAGGAGUAGCGUUGGCGAAGGCGGCCCUCUGGAUGAAGACUGACGCUCAGGUGCGAGAGCGUGGGGAGCAAACAG